Molecule: transfer RNA, 71 nt
Filed under: bacterium
Lineage: Bacteria
Description: tRNA-Gln
Rfam family: tRNA
About the family: Transfer RNA (tRNA) molecules are approximately 80 nucleotides in length.
Source: RNAcentral
UGCCUGAUGGUCAAGUGGUAUGACGGAGGUCUUUGGAACCUUAAUCCCUGGUUCGAACCCAGGUCGGGCAG